RNAcentral lists this ribosomal RNA (314 nucleotides) under uncultured Glaciecola sp. RNAcentral describes it as "bacterial SSU rRNA". It matches the Rfam family "Bacterial small subunit ribosomal RNA", at positions 30 to 334 of the family's 1533-position model. The record is from RNAcentral. Lineage: Bacteria; Pseudomonadati; Pseudomonadota; Gammaproteobacteria; Alteromonadales; Alteromonadaceae.
AUUGAACGCUGGCGGCAGGCCUAACACAUGCAAGUCGAGCGGAAACGACAUUAUUGAUUCUUCGGAUGAUUUAAUGGGCGUCGAGCGGCGGACGGGUGAGUAAUGCCUAGGAAAUUGCCUUGAUGUGGGGAUAACCAUUGGAAACGAUAGCUAAUACCGCAUGAUGUCUACGGACCAAAGGGGGCUUUUAGCUCCCGCGCAGAGAGGAACCUAAGCGAGAUUAGCUAGUUGGUGUGGUAAAGGCGCACCAAGGCGACGAUCUCUAGCUGUUCUGAGAGGAAGAUCAGCCACACUGGAACUGAGACACGGUCCAG